Molecule: ribosomal RNA, 485 nt
Filed under: uncultured bacterium
Lineage: Bacteria
Description: partial 16S ribosomal RNA
Rfam family: Bacterial small subunit ribosomal RNA
Source: RNAcentral
GACGAACGCUGGCGGCGUGCUUAACACAUGCAAGUCGAACGGUGAAAGCGGAGCUUGCUCCGCUGGAUCAGUGGCGAACGGGUGAGUAACACGUGGGCAACCUGCCCCUCACUUCGGGAUAACUCCGGGAAACCGGGGCUCAUACCGGAUAUGACCUCCUUGGGCAUCCUUGGAGGUGGACAGUUCUUUGGUGAGGGAUGGGCCCGCGGCCUAUCAGCUUGUUGGUGAGGUAGUGGCUCACCAAGGCGACGACGGGUAGCCGGCCUGAGAGGGCGACCGGCCACACUGGGACUGAGACACGGCCCAGACUCCUACGGGAGGCAGCAGUGGGGAAUAUUGCGCAAUGGGCGAAAGCCUGACGCAGCAACGCCGCGUGCGGGAUGACGGCCUUCGGGUUGUAAACCGCUUUCAGCAGGGAAGAAGCCGCAAGGUGACGGUACCUGCAGAAGAAGCACCGGCUAACUACGUGCCAGCCGCCGCCGUAA